AACGACUCUCGGCAACGGAUAUCUCGGCUCUCGCAUCGAUGAAGAACGUAGCGAAAUGCGAUACCUGGUGUGAAUUGCAGAAUCCCGUGAACCAUCGAGUCUUUGAACGCAAGUUGCGCCCGAAGCCAUCAGGCCAAGGGCACGCUCUGCCUGGCGUCACGC
This 162-nucleotide ribosomal RNA is filed under the name Astrantia major. RNAcentral's name for it is "5.8S ribosomal RNA". It matches the Rfam family "5.8S ribosomal RNA". From Rfam's summary of the family: 5.8S ribosomal RNA (5.8S rRNA) is a component of the large subunit of the eukaryotic ribosome. Lineage: Eukaryota; Viridiplantae; Streptophyta; Magnoliopsida; Apiales; Apiaceae. The record is from RNAcentral.